UAUCAGCAUUACAGCUUCUCUGGAAAAGAAGCUGUAAUCAUCAGUGUUGCCACUCAGUGAGAUCACUGCAUCAAGCAGUCUCAACUGCAUGCAUCUGUGUAUUUUAUGGC
Molecule: microRNA precursor, 110 nt
Organism: Gallus gallus (chicken)
Lineage: Eukaryota; Metazoa; Chordata; Aves; Galliformes; Phasianidae
Source: Ensembl